AGAGUUUGAUCAUGGCUCAGAAUGAACGCUGGCGGCNNNNUUUACACAUGCAAGUCGAGCGAGGGGGUAGCAAUAUCCAGUCGAGCGGGGACGGAGUAACGCGUGGAUAAUCUACCUUUUGGUGGGGGAUAACCCGGGGAAACUCGAGCUAAUACCGCAUGAGAUCGAAAGAUGAAAGGGGCGCAAGUCCCGCCGGAAGAGGAGUCCGCGUCCGAUUAGCUAGUUGGUAGGGUAAUGGCCUACCAAGGCGACGAUCGGUAGCCGGCCUGAGAGGGUGAUCGGCCACACUGGAACUGAGACACGGUCCAGACUCCUACGGGAGGCAGCAGUGGGGAAUUUUGCGCAAUGGGCGAAGCUGACGCAGCAACCCCGUGGAGGAUGAAGGCUUUUGGAUUGUAAACUCCUGUCAGCAGGGAAGAAGGCCUCGGCGAAGAGCCGAGGAUUGACGGUACCUGCAGAGGAAGCCCCGGCUAACUCUGUNNCGCAGCCGCGGUAAUACAGAGGGGGCAAGCGUUAUUCGGAAUUAUUGGGCGUAAAGGGCGCGUAGGCGGCCGUGCAAGUGGAAGGUGAAAUCCCUCGGCUCAACCGAGGAACUCCUUUCAACUGCUUGGCUUGAGUCCGGGAGAGGUGAGUGGAAUUCCCAGUGUAGCGGUGAAAUGCGUAGAUAUUGGGAGGAACACCAGUGGCGAAGGCGGCUCACUGGACCGGAACNNNNCUGAGCGGAAAGCGUGGGGAGCAAACGGGAUUAGAUACCCUAGUAGUCC
Molecule: ribosomal RNA, 764 nt
Filed under: uncultured bacterium
Lineage: Bacteria
Description: bacterial SSU rRNA
Rfam family: Bacterial small subunit ribosomal RNA
Source: RNAcentral